RNAcentral lists this ribosomal RNA (504 nucleotides) under Halomonas sp. M16-C16. RNAcentral describes it as "bacterial SSU rRNA". It matches the Rfam family "Bacterial small subunit ribosomal RNA", at positions 1 to 502 of the family's 1533-position model. The record is from RNAcentral. Lineage: Bacteria; Pseudomonadati; Pseudomonadota; Gammaproteobacteria; Oceanospirillales; Halomonadaceae.
UGAGCUUGAUCCUGGCUCAGAUUGAACGCUGGCGGCAGGCCUAACACAUGCAAGUCGAGCGGAAACGAUGGAAGCUUGCUUCCAGGCGUCGAGCGGCGGACGGGUGAGUAAUGCAUGGGAAUCUGCCCGAUAGUGGGGGAUAACCUGGGGAAACCCAGGCUAAUACCGCAUACGUCCUACGGGAGAAAGCAGGGGAUCUUCGGACCUUGCGCUAUCGGAUGAGCCCAUGUCGGAUUAGCUUGUUGGUGAGGUAAUGGCUCACCAAGGCGACGAUCCGUAGCUGGUCUGAGAGGAUGAUCAGCCACAUCGGGACUGAGACACGGCCCGAACUCCUACGGGAGGCAGCAGUGGGGAAUAUUGGACAAUGGGCGAAAGCCUGAUCCAGCCAUGCCGCGUGUGUGAAGAAGGCCCUCGGGUUGUAAAGCACUUUCAGUGGGGAAGAAAGCCUUGGGAUUAAUACUCCCGAGGAAGGACAUCACCCACAGAAGAAGCACCGUGCUAACU